CCUACGGGAGGCAGCAGUGGGGAAUAUUGGACAAUGGGGGGAACCCUGAUCCAGCCAUGCCGCGUGUGUGAAGAAGGCCCUCGGGUUGUAAAGCACUUUCAGUGAGGAAGAACGCCUGGUGGUUAAUACCCAUCAGGAAAGACAUCACUCACAGAAGAAGCACCGGCUAACUCCGUGCCAGCAGCCGCGGUAAUACGGAGGGUGCGAGCGUUAAUCGGAAUUACUGGGCGUAAAGCGCGCGUAGGUGGCUUGAUAAGCCGGUUGUGAAAGCCCCGGGCUCAACCUGGGAACGGCAUCCGGAACUGUCAAGCUAGAGUGCAGGAGAGGAAGGUAGAAUUCCCGGUGUAGCGGUGAAAUGCGUAGAGAUCGGGAGGAAUACCAGUGGCGAAGGCGGCCUUCUGGACUGACACUGACACUGAGGUGCGAAAGCGUGGGUAGCAAACAGGAUUAGAUCCGGGUAGUC
RNAcentral lists this ribosomal RNA (463 nucleotides) under Vreelandella stevensii. RNAcentral's name for it is "partial 16S ribosomal RNA". It matches the Rfam family "Bacterial small subunit ribosomal RNA", at positions 338 to 795 of the family's 1533-position model. The record is from RNAcentral. Lineage: Bacteria; Pseudomonadati; Pseudomonadota; Gammaproteobacteria; Oceanospirillales; Halomonadaceae.